Molecule: ribosomal RNA, 452 nt
Filed under: uncultured bacterium
Lineage: Bacteria
Description: bacterial SSU rRNA
Rfam family: Bacterial small subunit ribosomal RNA
Source: RNAcentral
GAACCCGCACAAGCAGCGGAGCGUGUGGUUUAAUUCGAGGCUACGCGAAGAACCUUACCAGGGUUUGACAUGUACGUAGUAGUGAAGCGAAAGCGGAACGACCCUUCGGGGAGCGUACACAGGUGAUGCAUGGCUGUCGUCAGCUCGUGCCGUGAGGUGUUUGGUUAAGUCCACUAACGAGCGCAACCCUUAGAGCCAGUUACAAGUGUCUGGCUCGACUGCCGGUCUUAAGCCGGAGGAAGGUGGGGAUGACGUCAAGUCAGCAUGUCCCUUAUAUCCUGGGCUACACACACGCUACAAUGGUCGGUACAGUAGGGUGCUAAGCCGCGAGGCGGAGCCAAUCCUCAAAAUCGAUCUCAGUUCGGAUCGUAGGCUGCAACUCGCCUACGUGAAGUCGGAGUUGCUAGUAACCGCAGGACAGCUAUACUGCGGUGAAUACGUUCCCGGGUUUU